CACAAGUACCGUGAGGGAAAGUUGCAAAGAACUUUGAAGAGAGAGUUCAAGAGUACGUGAAACUGCUCAGAGGUAAACGGGUGGGCCCUCGAAAUCCUGUGGCGAGAGGAUUCAGUCUGGCUCGGCGGACCUGCGGCGGGAAAACUCGGGUAGGGCUUCCCGUGACUGGGGCCGUCCUGUCGUGGGUUUUCCGUCGUUCCAGACGCAUUUGUCUCUCGUCCGAAGGACGCUGCAGCCGGUUUGGAAGUGCAAGCGCGGCGGCCUGAAGGUCGGGUAAUGGCAGGUGGCCGGCGGCUCGCCUUGUGCGGGUUGUCGGUUGUUAGCCGUCCCGUCAGUGGCUCGUCUCCAGACCGAGGUGUCGCGAGUCCCGUCAGGGACUCUUCGUCUCCACCCCAGAGUUGCGAGACUGGUCGUGGCAAGGGCUCCGUAUUCCCACCGUCGCACUACUAAGGAGUGGGCGGAGGGCUGCGGGUCCCCGUUGGCUGCGACGGACUCGUUGGGGGCUCGAGGCUUGCAGCGAGUAGGUCGGUCACCCACCCGACCCGUCUUGAAACACGGACCAAGGAGUCUAACAUGUGCGCGAGUCAAUGGGUCUUGACUAGGCCCAGGGGCGCAAUGAAAGCGAAGGAUUGCCUAGCGCAGUCUGAGUGGGGAUCCCUCUCUCUCGGGAGGGGGCGCACCCACGACCCGUCCUAUCCGGCUCGCCGGUUGGGCGGAGUCUGAGCGUACACGUUGGGACCCGAAAGAUGGUGAACUAUGCCCGGACAGGACGAGGCCAGAGGAAACUCUGGUGGAGGUCCGCACGGUUCUGACGUGCAAAUCGAUCGUCAGAUCCGGGUAUAGGGC
RNAcentral lists this ribosomal RNA (846 nucleotides) under Plexippoides annulipedis. Its description in RNAcentral is "eukaryotic LSU rRNA". It matches the Rfam family "Eukaryotic large subunit ribosomal RNA", at positions 343 to 923 of the family's 3401-position model. The record is from RNAcentral. Lineage: Eukaryota; Metazoa; Arthropoda; Arachnida; Araneae; Salticidae.